AACACUCUACAAACAGAUUUCACAGAAGCCAAACGUUCUUCCCAGAGAUCCCAACUGGUCACACAAUUGAAGACAAUUUUUACAAACUCCUUCAUGACAUCUCAGCAAUAAGGUCACAACUGACAGCAUCACAAAAGAGCAUCAGUAUGUCACAGCAUUGCACCCCAUGAAAGAUUCACACAGCACCAGAGGAUGUCAGGUCUCCACACAGACCCAACAAUUUCAUGGCAGCAACAUUCUUGCACAUUUCAGCUGCAAUAGAGGAACACAACUUUUGCUCUCCUCACCAGAUUUCAGAGGAACACCAGAGAGUUUGGAAAGUGAUUCACACAGAUCCGAGAUGGCCCCCAUCACUGGCACCACAACCCGGUACUAGAAACAAAGAUAACGUUAUACUUACACCAGGCAAAAUAAAACCAUAUAAGGCAGAGA
Long non-coding RNA from Vidua chalybeata, 432 nucleotides. RefSeq lists it as uncharacterized. Lineage: Eukaryota; Metazoa; Chordata; Aves; Passeriformes; Viduidae. The record is from RefSeq and is a predicted model, not a curated record. The transcript has 2 exons.